GGUUACUGCUAUCGGUGUUCGCCUAAGCCAUGCGAGUCAUAUGUUCGUAAGAACAUGGCGUACUGCUCAGUAACACGUGGAUAACCUGCCCUUGGGUCCGGCAUAACCCCGGGAAACUGGGGAUAAUUCCGGAUAACGCUCAUAUGCUGGAAUGCUUUUUGCGUAAAAUGGAUUCGUCUGCCCAAGGAUGGGUCUGCGGCCUAUCAGGUAGUAGUGGGUGUAAUGUACCUACUAGCCUACGACGGGUACGGGUUGUGAGAGCAAGAGCCCGGAGAUGGAUUCUGAGACAUGAAUCCAGGCCCUACGGGGCGCAGCAGGCGCGAAAACUUUACAAUGCGGGAAACCGUGAUAAGGGGACACCGAGUGCCAGCAUCCUAUGCUGGCUGUCCGGGUGUGUAAAAUACACCUGUUAGCAAGGGCCGGGCAAGACCGGUGCCAGCCGCCGCGGUAACACCGGCGGCCCGAGUGGUGAUCGUGAUUAUUGGGUCUAAAGGAUCCGUAGCCGGUUUGGUCAGUCCUCCGGGAAAUCUGACAGCUCAACUGUUAGGCUAUCGGAGGAUACUGCCAGACUUGGAACCGGGAGAGGUAAGAGGUGCUACAGGGGUAGGAGUGAAAUCUUGUAAUCCCUGUGGGACCACCUGUGGCGAAGGCGUCUUACCAGAACGGGUUCGACGGUGAGGGACGAAAGCUGGGGGCACGAACCGGAUUAGAUACCCGGGUAGUCCCAGCCGUAAACGAUGCUCGCUAGGUGUCAGGCAUGGCGCGACCGUGUCUGGUGCCGCAGGGAAGCCGUGAAGCGAGCCACCUGGGAAGUACGGCCGCAAGGCUGAAACUUAA
RNAcentral lists this ribosomal RNA (837 nucleotides) under uncultured archaeon. RNAcentral's name for it is "bacterial SSU rRNA". It matches the Rfam family "Archaeal small subunit ribosomal RNA", at positions 21 to 859 of the family's 1478-position model. The record is from RNAcentral.